This 451-nucleotide long non-coding RNA is filed under the name Trifolium pratense (red clover). RNAcentral describes it as "long non-coding RNA (TPRA_LNC011256)". Lineage: Eukaryota; Viridiplantae; Streptophyta; Magnoliopsida; Fabales; Fabaceae. The record is from RNAcentral.
UGCUUAUAUGUGAAGAAUAAGUGAUUUUUGAACAAUCCCGUUUUCAAAACGUAUUUUUUUUGCAAUUCUGCAGCAUUGCGUCGAAAAAUGGCCGACGCUAUAGCCGACGCAACCCAUUAUGUUGACUAUUUUUGACUUUUUGUUGACUUAUGCACUUGGAACUCAUUUUGCUUAGUUUUUCGCGUAGAUUCCGAUUCCGAAAUUAUUUUUCUGAGAUGAUGCUUGAUUAUUGGUGUUUGCUCAUAUUUUGGUAAUAAAAUAUGCUUAAUUAGUUUGAUUAAUUGAAUUAAAUAACUAAUUAUUGUUGAUUAGUUUUAGUAUCUUUUGAGUAUGGAAUAAAUGUGUUUUCCUUGAGUUGUUGAUGAUGAUUAUGUUGUUAACCCUUGUUGAUACAUUAUGUGUUGAUGAUUAAUGAGGAUGAUUGUUGAUGUUAAUUAAUGAUUGAUGUAUU